This 449-nucleotide ribosomal RNA is filed under the name uncultured prokaryote. RNAcentral's name for it is "bacterial SSU rRNA". It matches the Rfam family "Bacterial small subunit ribosomal RNA", at positions 355 to 796 of the family's 1533-position model. The record is from RNAcentral.
UGGGGAAUAUUGCACAAUGGGCGCAAGCCUGAUGCAGCCAUGCCGCGUGUAUGAAGAAGGCCUUCGGGUUGUAAAGUACUUUCAGCAGUGAGGAAGGCGGGUACGUUAAUAGCGUAUUCGUUUGACGUUAGCUGCAGAAGAAGCACCGGCUAACUCCGUGCCAGCAGCCGCGGUAAUACGGAGGGUGCGAGCGUUAAUCGGAAUUACUGGGCGUAAAGCGCAUGCAGGUGGUUUGUUAAGUCAGAUGUGAAAGCCCGGGGCUCAACCUCGGAAUAGCAUUUGAAACUGGCAGACUAGAGUACUGUAGAGGGGGGUAGAAUUUCAGGUGUAGCGGUGAAAUGCGUAGAGAUCUGAAGGAAUACCGGUGGCGAAGGCGGCCCCCUGGACAGAUACUGACACUCAGAUGCGAAAGCGUGGGGAGCAAACAGGAUUAGAUACCCCCGUAGUCC